CAGUGCCGGAAGGUUAAGGGGAGAGGUUACUCCGCGCUUGCGUGGGGGAAGCUUUGAACCGAAGCCCCGGUGAACGGCGGCCGUAACUAUAACGGUCCUAAGGUAGCGAAAUUCCUUGUCGGGUAAGUUCCGACCCGCACGAAUGGCGUAACGAGCGGGGCACUGUCUCAAGGAGGGACCCGGCGAAAUUGAAGUAGGUGUGAAGAUGCGCCUUACCCGCAGCAGGACAAAAAGACCCCGUGGAGCUUUACUGCAGCUUGGUAUUGGGUUAGGGUUUCGCCUGUGUAGGAUAGCUGGGAGACAAUGAAACUGGGGCGCCAGCCUCGGUGGAGUCGUCCUUGAAAUACCAGCCUGGCCAAAUCUUGACUCUAACCUGUGUCCGUGAUCCGGCACAGGGACAGUGCCAGGUGGGCAGUUUGACUGGGGCAGUCGCCUCCCAAAAGGUAAUGGAGGCGCCCAAAGGUUCCCUCAGGCUGAAUGGAAACCAGCCGUAGAGUGUAAAGGCAUAAGGGAGCUUGACUGCGAGUCCUACAAGACGAGCAGAGUCGAAAGACGGGCUUAGUGAUCCCACGGUUCCGAGUGGAAGGGCCGUGGCUUACCGGAUAAAAGCUACCCCGGGGAUAACAGGCUAGUCGCGCCCAAGAGUUCACAUCGACGGCGCGGCUCGGCACCUCGAUGUCGGCUCGUCGCAUCCUGGGGCUGGAGUAGGUCCCAAGGGUUGGGCUGUUCGCCCAUUAAAGCGGCACGCGAGCUGGGUUCAGACCGUCGUGAGACAGGUCGGUCUCUAUCCGCUGUGGGCGCAGGGGAUUUGAGAGGGGCUGCCCCUAGUACGAGAGGACCGGGGUGGACAGACCUCUGGUGUGCCAGUUGUCGUGCCAACGGCAUAGCUGGGUAGCCAAGUCUGGCAGUGAUAACCGCUGAAAGCAUCUAAGUGGGAAGCACGCCUCAAGAUGAGAUCCCCCAUCCCUUCGUGGGAGUAAGGCCGCAGGUAGACUACCUGCUAGAUAGGCGGCGGGUGUAAGCACAGCAAUGUGUUGAGCUUAGCCGUACUAAUGGCCGAGGGCUUGAUUCGCACAU
RNAcentral lists this ribosomal RNA (1077 nucleotides) under Chloroflexota bacterium. RNAcentral describes it as "Chloroflexi bacterium partial 23S ribosomal RNA". It matches the Rfam family "Bacterial large subunit ribosomal RNA", at positions 1864 to 2925 of the family's 2925-position model. The record is from RNAcentral. Lineage: Bacteria; Bacillati; Chloroflexota.